ACAAACUGAUGACAAUACGGUUCAUAAACAACAGUGUUGCUUCUCGAUAUAAAGUGUGAUUUACGUAAAGGAGCGCGAGGGUUACUCACGGGGCGGUUGCGAGGAAGGAAAUGUGAUUAUGUAAUACUCAUCACUUGAUUCAUAGUGUAUUGGGAACAACGCUUAAGAGAGGCUUGAUGGCGUGAGUUCGACAGCGGCCUCUCCUUAAUUCACUCAUCAUUAGUUAAUGGGGUGUGGAAGCCUCUUAAGGCUUCAGUCCUUCCCUUUUGACCUCUCGACCUGAGAGGAGGGAAUGACCCUGCCCUUUUUUUCCUGCACGUAAAAUAAUAAAAUGAAACGAUGGUGGUCCACUCAGCUCAAUCUCCAGUGGGUCAGCUCCGGUUUUAAUACUCGUCCAAUGUGGACUUGUGAAGCUCUUGAAGACAUUCAUUUUGUGGUGAAUGUAAACUCUACAUUAAACGCCUGUGGGUCACACCUACCAACUCCAUCACUGUUUGAUUUGUAAGUUGGUCGGUUGAUGAACCCGUCUCCGGUCCGCUGCACGACCCUCUCCGCCAUGACUGAGAACCCAGCCUUUGCUUUGUCUUCUUCCCUGGUUUCUGACUGCUAUGUGGUGUUGAAACCGCUCCAAGUGUCAUGAAUCCAGGGGUGUUGCCCUGAAGAUGCCUUCUCCCGUCUCCUUGUGCGGCGUGUCUUCUAUCGAGUUCUCCUUCUCCUUUUUUGAUAUCAGUCCUCACUCCCCUCCUUCCUCCCACUGCAGGGAGGACACUCAACUCCCUAAUCACUUCCCAUUCGUCCAACGGUUUACUGACAAUGCUCACUUUAUUUUGUAGGGAUAGUAUAAUAGGCCUGCGAUAAUAAUGAUGUGUCUGUGUUGUCUUGUGCGGGGGUUUGUUGUGUGUGUGUGUGGGUGGGUGUUGUGUUUUGCAAUCCUCGUUGCUUUUGUGGUUGUGUUGUUGCGUUGAUGUGUCGUUGUUGCGGUCGAGUUGUUGUGCGGUCGGGGUAGAUUGUGGUCGUGUAGUUGUGUGUGUAUCGUUGCGUGUGUGUGUGUGUGUUUUCUGACCCUUCCAGCUGUGUGGACCUUCGUGAGCUUUGUGAUCCCUCUUCACCUCUGUUUGUUUAAUAUAUCUCUGUGUAAUCUCUUGUCCUCCCUCCCCCCUCCCACCUUGUCCCCCCUUCUCAACCCCUCUCACCCCUUCCCGUAGAUGGCCUCAUCAUACUCAACUGGUCUGGAAUGUGCCGUGUGUACGUAAACCAAGAGAAACUCUGAUAACGGCUAAUCGGAAUGGAAUGAGACGCUGCUUGACCGCUAAUACACCACUA
Gadus morhua (Atlantic cod) is the source of this 1323-nucleotide long non-coding RNA. RefSeq lists it as uncharacterized. Lineage: Eukaryota; Metazoa; Chordata; Actinopteri; Gadiformes; Gadidae. The transcript is spliced from 3 exons. The record is from RefSeq and is a predicted model, not a curated record.